This 402-nucleotide ribosomal RNA is filed under the name bacterium. Its description in RNAcentral is "partial 16S ribosomal RNA". It matches the Rfam family "Bacterial small subunit ribosomal RNA", at positions 355 to 776 of the family's 1533-position model. The record is from RNAcentral.
UGGGGAAUUUUGCACAAUGGGGGAAACCCUGAUGCAGCGACGCCGCGUGAUUUAGAAGGCCUUCGGGUUGUAAAAAUCUUUUCUAUGGGAAGAAAAUGACAGUACCAUAGGAAUAAGGACCGGCUAAUUACGUGCCAGCAGCCGCGGUAAUACGUAAGGUCCGAGCGUUGUCCGGAAUCAUUGGGCGUAAAGGGUACGUAGGCGGGUAAGCAAGUUAGAAGUGAAAUCCUAUAGCUCAACUAUAGUAAGCUUUUAAAACUGCUCAUCUUGAGGUAGGGAAGGGAAAGUGGAAUUCCUAGUGUAGCGGUGAAAUGCGCAGAUAUUAGGAGGAAUACCGGUGGCGAAGGCGACUUUCUGGCCAUAACCUGACGCUGAGGUACGAAAGCGUGGGUAGCAAACAGG